GUGCACGCUGGCGGUAGGCCUAACACAUGCAGGUCGAACGGCAGCACAGUAAGAGCUUGCUCUUACGGGUGGCGAGUGGCGGACGGGUGAGGAAUACAUCGGAAUCUACUUUUUCGUGGGGGAUAACGUAGGGAAACUUACGCUAAUACCGCAUACGACCUACGGGUGAAAGCAGGGGAUCUUCGGACCUUGCGCGAUUGAAUGAGCCGAUGUCGGAUUAGCUAGUUGGCGGGGUAAAGGCCCACCAAGGCGACGAUCCGUAGCUGGUCUGAGAGGAUGAUCAGCCACACUGGAACUGAGACACGGUCCAGACUCCUACGGGAGGCAGCAGUGGGGAAUAUUGGACAAUGGGCGCAAGCCUGAUCCAGCCAUACCGCGUGGGUGAAGAAGGCCUUCGGGUUGUAAAGCCCUUUUGUUGGGAAAGAAAAGCAGCAGGUUAAUACCCCGCUGUUCUGACGGUACCCAAAGAAUAAGCACCGGCUAACUUCGUG
This 491-nucleotide ribosomal RNA is filed under the name uncultured bacterium. Its description in RNAcentral is "partial 16S ribosomal RNA". It matches the Rfam family "Bacterial small subunit ribosomal RNA", at positions 29 to 507 of the family's 1533-position model. The record is from RNAcentral.